UGACUUAGUGGCGGACGGGUGAGUAACACGUGAGCAACCUGCCUUUCAGAGGGGGAUAACGGCUGGAAACGACUGCUAAUACCGAAUACGCUCAUGAUGAACGUUGUGAGGAAAGGUGGCCUCUGCUUGCAAGCUAUCGCAUAGAGAUGAGUCCGCGUCCCAUUAGCUCGUUGGUGGGGUAACGGCCUACCAAGGCAACGAUGGGUAGCCGAUCUGAGAGGAUGAUCGGCCACACUGGAACUGAAACACGGUCCAGACUCC
RNAcentral lists this ribosomal RNA (261 nucleotides) under uncultured Desulfovibrio sp. RNAcentral describes it as "partial 16S ribosomal RNA". It matches the Rfam family "Bacterial small subunit ribosomal RNA", at positions 88 to 339 of the family's 1533-position model. The record is from RNAcentral. Lineage: Bacteria; Pseudomonadati; Thermodesulfobacteriota; Desulfovibrionia; Desulfovibrionales; Desulfovibrionaceae.